Ictalurus punctatus (channel catfish) is the source of this 1793-nucleotide long non-coding RNA. The record is from Ensembl. Lineage: Eukaryota; Metazoa; Chordata; Actinopteri; Siluriformes; Ictaluridae.
UGUCACGAGCUCUAAGGUGUGGUCCAAUAUCUAAACACUGCAUUCGGAACGUGAGCAGAGUUUCUCAGGUAGAACUGUCCUGUCUCCAGACUGAAACAGAUUCUCCUUAUACUCGGAGUCUGGGAUUCAUUUAGCUUGUUCAGUUUGUGUUCAGUUUGUGUUCAGUUUGUGUUCAGUUUGUGUUCAGUUUGUGUUCUGAAUCGUGUCCUAGUGCUUUUAUUCUGCACUUCCGGCUUUGUUUCUGUUCAUCAGAGCAAGUGGUUAUAGUUUAUCGUCCAGCCAUGCAGUCCUGCAGCGUUCACCACUGUGUCCUGCUCUUACUCACCCUCACAUUCACCACUGCUCUAGAGAUGACCCGUGUGAUUGCCCCAGGUGAACCCAUAGACGUGCUCUUACCCCUCACUGACCUGGUGGAUGUGAGUUUUACUCCGAGUGAUGCUGUACAACCAUCAAACCUGCAGAUCUGCACCGUGGACGAGGAGAAGAUCCAGUGCAGUCCAGAUUAUAAAGAGAGAGCGUCUCUCCUCAACACUCUUCAGAUUAAAGAUGGAGACGUCUCUGACAUUGGAACUACACAGUACUUCCAGUACUACUUACAGGAUAUCUGGAACAAUGAGAUGGUCCGUGUGAGAGAGGAGACGCUGUGUUUGGACAGUACGUAGGAGAGAUCUAUGCCAGCAUGGGGGACUGCACUGAUGGUGGUGCUGAUGAUCCUGCUCAUCGUAGCAGGGUUAUUGAUGGGUUAUCUGUGGAAAGAAACGCAGUAGCUCCAUGGAGAAUCUGCAAACACCAGCAGCGCUGAAUGACUGAGAACACCAACGAACACCAGCAGCUCACAAUGAAUGGAGUUGUCAGCCAUUCUCCAGGAGAUGUGCAGAUCUCCGUACACCCUGCUUUCACUAACCAGCAACACUGAAAGUGUCUGAAUAUGUCCCCUGUCCUCCUCCCUGGGAUUUCUGCUCCAGGACAUGUGGAGCUACACACUGCUGUUUGUGCUGCAGAUCUUCACCUUUGCCCCCACUGUGUCCGGUGAUGGUUCUGUAACGGCCAAACUUCAUCACCCCGUUACCCUCACCUGUAACUCCAGAUGUUCUGGUGUACUCGAAUGGAGCAAGUUUCGAACCAUUGUGGCUCGGUGUGAUCAGACCUCCUGCAGGCCAGAGAAGGGAUUUAACAUCUCUCAUGAUCAGUACCUGAAGGGGAAUCCACAUCUCACCAUCACUGCAGCUGAUUACAGUGCGAGAGGAUUGUACACGUGUCUGUGUAACGGUACAGACAUCUGUAAAGUGCGUCUCCUCAUCGAGCCUCUAGAGAUGACCCGUGUGAUUGCCCCAGGCGAGCCCAUAGACGUGCUCUUACCCCUCACUGACCUGGUGGAUGUGAGUUUUACUUCCAGUGAUGCUGUACAACCAUCAAACCUGCAGAUCUGCAGCGUGGACAAGGAGAAGAUCCAGUGCAGUCCAGAUUAUAAAGAGAGAGCGUCUCUCCUCAACACUCUUCAGAUUAAAGAUGGAGACGUCUCUGACAGUGGGAACUACACAGUACAGGAUAUAGUGAAUGACGAGACUUUAGCCAUCGUAACGGUCCAUAUGAGAGGUGAACGCGUGUCCCAGACUCGCACUCGAAGACACCGCAGUGCCCCUGGUACGUCUAUAAAUAUAUAUAUAUGAUAUUGUCUGUCCUGCAGAUUCCUCUGUUUCUUCUGUAUAUUUAGUUUUAUAUUUAUUAAAAAGAUCUGACGCUCAACUCCACACUAAACUAAAUAAUAAACUCCUGCAGAAACAGGCUUAAAA